UACGAGGAACCCUAAUCACCUUCCCUUUCUUGUUGACCCAAACACGAACCCUGUCAAUCCUAUAGUCCUUAGUAACUGGAGUUCCCUCAAGUAAUACGAUUGCAUGAACACAAGGAUUCUCUUUCUCUAUAAUAGCAGCAGCAACCUCCCCGUUUUUACCAACCAGCUCUGGCCAUGAGCUCUUGCCUGUGAAGGAUUUCAUAAGAAAAUUAAACUUUGUUCAGAAAUGAUCAAAAUCUCCAAUUUGUUUCAAUAAUGAAAUUAAAAAAAAGGAAAAGCAUGGCGUUUUAUACUUACGUGGACAAUCAAAUGCAGACGUGACUAGGUUUGGUCCAUCUUCCACAACUCCUUUCAAUGCAGAUACGAUGACUUCAGAGCCAAGCUCCUUGCCAUCGGUCAGGCAAGGCUCGUGACGAGCGGCCAAAGAGGGUUUUGCGGCGAAGGC
Molecule: long non-coding RNA, 445 nt
Filed under: Citrus maxima (pomelo)
Lineage: Eukaryota; Viridiplantae; Streptophyta; Magnoliopsida; Sapindales; Rutaceae
Description: long non-coding RNA (CMAX_LNC003960)
Source: RNAcentral